UCACACUGCAUCAGAUUCUAUUCGGCAUUUAUUCGUUGUAGACUGUUGUAAAUGGAAGGGAUCACCCCUCCCCCACUAUGAGAGACAUUGAUUGAAGGGAAGUGAUUAUUGGGCGAGGGGCUUUGAGCAGCCUUGAUUGCUGAUGGGUGCUCAAGCGUUACAGGGAAGCAGGAUGAGGAGAUGGAGAUGUCUGAAUGAAUCAAUUAGCCAUGUAGCUGUGUGAGUUGAAGAGGCAGGCGUCCUACAGGGAUUGAGAAAGAGCAAAUACCUGCGAUUUUUGUCUCAUUAACAGUCUGGACAGGCGAAAACAGGGCUGAAAUGACUGAAAUUGCGAAGAGGUUGAAUGUAAUCUGUGCACAACUCAUUCCAUUCCUUUCACAGGAGCACCAGCAGCAGGUGGUGGGGGCAAUGGAACGAGCCAAGCAGGUGACCAUGGGGGAGCUGAACACCGCCAUCGGGGUGCGUAUACAG
This is a long non-coding RNA of Protopterus annectens (West African lungfish), 471 nucleotides long. RefSeq lists it as uncharacterized. Lineage: Eukaryota; Metazoa; Chordata; Ceratodontiformes; Protopteridae. The record is from RefSeq and is a predicted model, not a curated record. The transcript has 3 exons.